CAUUUCUCCUUAGUUUAAGUACGUACAUCGUAUUGGCUCAGUGGGUCUUACCGUGCGGUCGUCAACAGUACGAGGCCUUACCUGCAAAUCCGUGCAUUUUACUGCGAGAUUAUCGGAUAAAAAUAAUUUCUGUGAUUGAAAGACAUCCAAAACGUCGCGCAGAAACAACCGCAUUGUUUACCAACGGCUUGGCCGCCGAUCACGGGCGCCGAGUGUGACGUGCUACCAGGACCUGUCGGAUGCAUUGCGUUCGCCCAGCUACACCGUGGUCACCGGCCGCCAUAUUGGUGGGCCCAACGCAUUCUGUCGUCUGCAUUUACUUCAAGCGGGCUGCCCGUAUUUUUUAAAAUUUACUUUAAACUAAAGGGCAUGUCAUGCCAGUUUGUUGCAGCUUUGAGUACAUUUCACACGGACAGAGUAAGAGGGAUAAUUUUUCGCAGGUUCCCCUCACAGUCGCUCAGCUGUGCCGAAGAAUCGGAUGCAGAACCUAGCCAAUUUGUUCCACUGUUCUUUUAAUCUGUGAGGUACGGUGGAAGUAAAUAAACUGCUGUGUUAACCUCGUA
Ornithodoros turicata is the source of this 563-nucleotide long non-coding RNA. RefSeq lists it as uncharacterized. The record is from RefSeq and is a predicted model, not a curated record. Lineage: Eukaryota; Metazoa; Arthropoda; Arachnida; Ixodida; Argasidae. The transcript is spliced from 2 exons.